CCAGCUGUCCCUGCCUGUCCCCACUGCUGUCCCUGCCUGUCCCCACCGCUGUCCCUGCCUGUCCCCACCGUCCCCCUUAGCUCGGUGGUUUCCCCCCUGUGCUCCCCAAGAGGCUUCUCAGCUCUGCCUUUGCCCUCUCCCCCAGGGUCGGGAGGUGCAGGUGGGGUGCAGGGGGGUCCGUCCUGCCUGUCCCCACCCCUGUCCUCCUCCCAUGGCCGUGUCCCCAUCCCCGGGAGGGGGUGGCACGGAGCUGCCCUGCUCCAGGACCAGGCACGGCUUCAGCCCCUGCCCUGCUGAGCCCUGGCCAGCUCCUGGCAGUGGCUGUGCCUUGGAGCCUUGGCUGUGGGGACAAGGUGACUGUCCCCUCUCUGGGCACAGGGACCUCCCCCAGCCACAACCAGGGCUGCUGGCCCAUCCGUGUUUGUUUUGGUGCGAAAUAAAAGCUGCUGGUAGCUGGAAUUUGGGGGUGGUGGAGCUGGGGGACCUCGUCCUGAGGUCUGGGGGUGCUCCUGUCCCUUCUGUGCCUGGAGAUGUCCCCAUCCAAGCCUCGCUCCUGAUCUGGUGACGUCCAGGCCCUGCUCUCUGCUCCAAAAAGUCACUUUUAUUGUGCCAAGGGACAGGGGGAGGAACGAUUGUAAACAGGGAUGUGAAAUAUACAGGUUAAGUUACUCGUUGUCUUAUUAACAAAAUAAAGCUCUAUCUAUAUUUACAA
Molecule: non-coding RNA, 712 nt
Organism: Cyanistes caeruleus (blue tit)
Lineage: Eukaryota; Metazoa; Chordata; Aves; Passeriformes; Paridae
Source: RefSeq, a predicted model, not a curated record